GAUGAACGCUGGCGGCGUGCCUAAUACAUGCAAGUCGAGCGAACAGACGAGGAGCUUGCUCCCUUGACGUUAGCGGCGGACGGGUGAGUAACACGUGGGUAACCUACCUAUAAGACUGGGAUAACUUCGGGAAACCGGAGCUAAUACCGGAUAAUAUUUCGAACCGCAUGGUUCGAUAGUGAAAGAUUGCUUUGCUAUCACUUAUAGAUGGACCUGCGCCGUAUUAGCUAGUUGGUAAGGUAACGGCUUACCAAGGCAACGAUACGUAGCCGACCUGAGAGGGUGAUCGGCCACACUGGAACUGAGACACGGUCCAGACUCCUACGGGAGGCAGCAGUAGGGAAUCUUCCGCAAUGGGCGAAAGCCUGACGGAGCAACGCCGCGUGAGUGAUGAAGGUCUUCGGAUCGUAAAACUCUGUUAUUAGGGAAGAACAAACGUGUAAGUAACUGUGCACGUCUUGACGGUACCUAAUCAGAAAGCCACGGCUAACUACGUG
This 497-nucleotide ribosomal RNA is filed under the name uncultured bacterium. RNAcentral's name for it is "partial 16S ribosomal RNA". It matches the Rfam family "Bacterial small subunit ribosomal RNA", at positions 28 to 507 of the family's 1533-position model. The record is from RNAcentral.